Panthera uncia (snow leopard) is the source of this 611-nucleotide long non-coding RNA. RefSeq lists it as uncharacterized. The record is from RefSeq and is a predicted model, not a curated record. The transcript is spliced from 2 exons. Lineage: Eukaryota; Metazoa; Chordata; Mammalia; Carnivora; Felidae.
CGCACUGGUCCUGGUGUGGCUGGUGCCGCUGCUGCUGCUGUGGCCCCGGGGCGCCCUGGGCGAGGAACUGCGGCUGCCGCAGCCCCCCCGGGCCCAGGGCGGCAGAUUGGCUCUCCAACUUCGCCCACUUCAACAAGUACCCGGAGAAGCUCUUCAACAGCAGCGUGAAGUCUAAGGACCCCAAGAAAUCUAAAAACGUUAAAAACCCCAAGAAUGCCGCGAACACCACAAAAAGUCCACCAGCAAACACCGUGAAACCGCUACCAGAGAAUGCUAGGAAACCUCCCCAACAGAACACCGGGAAACCAUAACCACUGACCUCCUCCCAGGGCCCCAGGUAGGAGAGCCUGGGCAGGCUGGCACCGAUCGAUCGAUCGAUAGGGAGCUGCAGAACUGGGGGCAGGUUGGGCUGGAGGGAGAGGAAGCCCCUGGGGUGGGGGUGGGGAUACCAGGGCCGCAGGGCCUUCCUUCUCCAGGCCGGGCCUUGACCUCUAGAUGCCUGGCUCAAGUCUCCUCGCCCGCAGACCGGCUUUAUAUUCCGCGAGGAGCCUUAACUCCUACCUGCCCACCUCCCCCACCGCCAGUGAGAACAAUAAAGAGAAAUCUUUCUA